GAUGAACGCUGGCGGCGUGCCUAAUACAUGCAAGUCGAGCGAACAGACGAGGAGCUUGCUCCUCUGACGUUAGCGGCGGACGGGUGAGUAACACGUGGAUAACCUACCUAUAAGACUGGGAUAACUUCGGGAAACCGGAGCUAAUACCGGAUAAUAUAUUGAACCGCAUGGUUCAAUAGUGAAAGACGGUUUUGCUGUCCCUUAUAGAUGGAUCCGCGCCGCAUUAGCUAGUUGGUAAGGUAACGGCUUACCAAGGCUACGAUGCGUAGCCGACCUGAGAGGGUGAUCGGCCACACUGGAACUGAGACACGGUCCAGACUCCUACGGGAGGCAGCAGUAGGGAAUCUUCCGCAAUGGGCGAAAGCCUGACGGAGCAACGCCGCGUGAGUGAUGAAGGUCUUCGGAUCGUAAAACUCUGUUAUUAGGGAAGAACAAAUGUGUAAGUAACUAUGCACGUCUUGACGGUACCUAAUCAGAAAGCCACGGCUAACUACGUG
RNAcentral lists this ribosomal RNA (497 nucleotides) under uncultured bacterium. RNAcentral's name for it is "partial 16S ribosomal RNA". It matches the Rfam family "Bacterial small subunit ribosomal RNA", at positions 28 to 507 of the family's 1533-position model. The record is from RNAcentral.